GCUAACUAUCAAGCCUAUAAACUACUUAGUUGCUUCCCCCAACCACCAUAAAAUAAAACAUUUUACUGUUUAAGUAGAGGCGAUUAAAAAAACUCUAAGAGCUUCAACCCUAGUACCGCAAGGGAAAGAUGAAAUAUUAUGAAAUAAAAUAAAGCACAAUAUAGUAGAGAUUAAUACUCGUACCUUUUGCAUCAUGGUCUAGCAAGUCAUUAUCAAGCAAAGAGCCCCUCAAGUUUGAUUUCCCGAAACUAGGCGAGCUACUUCAAAACAGCAUCUAGAGCCAACCCGUCUCUGUGGCAAAAGAGUGGGAAGAUUUUCAAGUAGUAGUGAUAAGCCUACCGAGCCUAGAGAUAGCUGGUUAUUCAAGAAAAGAAUUUUAGUUCUACCUUAAGCUUAAAUAUGAACACAAACAAAAUAUUGUACUUAAGAGCUAUUCAAAUAAGGCACAGCUUAUUUGAAAAAGGUUACAACCUAGACUUUAGGGUAAAAUAUAAUAAACUUAAUAAAGUGGGCCUAAAAGCAGCCACCUUUCAAAAAGCGUUAAAGCUUCACUUCUGAUUUAUAAAAUCCCACCCUAUCACCAUCAACCCAUCACCAGUAUUGAAUAACUUCAUAAAUUAUGAAAAUUACCAUGCUAGAACUAGUAACAAGAAAAUGCUAUUUCUCCAAAGUGUAAACAUAAACCAAAAUGGACAACCCAUUGGUACCUAACGACUCUGAACCAACUAUAGCAAACACCUAGAAAACCCUAUAUUUAAUAUCGUUAACCUUACACAAGAACUCUUCUGGAAAGAUUAAAAGGGUAAGAAGGAACUCGGCAAACUCUAACCCCGCCUGUUUACCAAAAACAUCGCCUCUUGCUAAGACAUAAGAGGUCUAGCCUGCCCAGUGUUUUAAUCAACGGCCGCGUGAUUUAAGCGCGCGAAGGUAGCAUAAUCAUUUGUCCUUUAAAUGGGGACUCGUAUCAAUGGCAUCACGAGGGUUAUACUGUCUCCUUUCCCCAAUCAGUGAAACUAAUCCCCCUGUGAAAAAGCAGGAAUGAAACUAUAAGACGAGAAGACCCCAUGGAGCUUAAAACAUGACAACAACCCUAAUAAUAUCACCAAUAUAAUUUUAAGCCCUGUAUGUUAGUUUUAGGUUGGGGUGACCGCGGAAUAAAGCAAAACUUCCACAACGUAAAGGGUUUACAUCCUUACUUAAGAGAUACCUCUCUAAAAAUUAUUAACAUAACGUCCAAUGACCCGACCAUCGAUCAACGGACCAAGUUACCCUGGGGAUAACAGCGCAAUCCAUUUUAAGAGCUCCUAUCGACAAAUGGGCUUACGACCUCGAUGUUGGAUCAGGAUAUCCAAGUGGUGCAGCCGCUACUAAAGGUUUGUUUGUUCAACAAUUAAAAUC
This 1398-nucleotide ribosomal RNA is filed under the name Occidozyga laevis. RNAcentral describes it as "partial 16S large subunit ribosomal RNA". It matches the Rfam family "Bacterial large subunit ribosomal RNA", at positions 150 to 2595 of the family's 2925-position model. The record is from RNAcentral. Lineage: Eukaryota; Metazoa; Chordata; Amphibia; Anura; Dicroglossidae.